UUGGUUAAGUUAGAAAGGGCGCACGGUGGAUGCCUUGGCACUAGGAGCCGAAGAAGGACGGGACUAACACCGAUAUGCUUUGGGGAGCUGUACGUAAGCGUUGAUCCAGAGAUUUCCGAAUGGGGGAACCCACUAUCUUUAGUCGGAUAGUAUCCUUACGUGAAUACAUAGCGUGAGGAAGGCAGACCCAGGGAACUGAAACAUCUAAGUACCUGGAGGAAGAGAAAGAAAAAUCGAUUUCCUGAGUAGCGGCGAGCGAAACGGAAAGAGCCCAAACCAAGAAGCUUGCUUCUUGGGGUUGUAGGACACUCUAUACGGAGUUACAAAAGAAAGUUAUAAAUGAAGCGGUCUGGAAAGGCCCGCCAAAGACGGUAACAGCCCGGUAGUUGAAAUGGCUUUCCCUCCAGAGUGGAUCCUGAGUACGGCGGAACACGUGAAAUUCCGUCGGAAUCCGGGAGGACCAUCUCCCAAGGCUAAAUACUCCCUAGUGACCGAUAGUGAACCAGUACCGUGAGGGAAAGGUGAAAAGCACCCCGGAAGGGGAGUGAAACAGUUCCUGAAACCGUGUGCCUACAAGUAGUUAGAGCCCGUUAAUGGGUGAUAGCGUGCCUUUUGUAGAAUGAACCGGCGAGUUACGAUUUGUUGCAAGGUUAAGCGGAAAAAGCGGAGCCGUAGCGAAAGCGAGUCUGAAUAGGGCGCAUAAGUAACAGGUCGUAGACCCGAAACCAGGUGAUCUACCCAUGUCCAGGAUGAAGGUAAGGUAAUACUUACUGGAGGUCCGAACCCACGCACGUUGAAAAGUGCGGGGAUGAGGUGUGGGUAGCGGAGAAAUUCCAAUCGAACUUGGAGAUAGCUGGUUCUCUCCGAAAUAGCUUUAGGGCUAGCCUCGAGGUAAAGAGUCAUGGAGGUAGAGCACUGUUUGGACUAGGGGCCCUUCUCGGGUUACCGAAUUCAGAUAAACUCCGAAUGCCAUGUACUUAUACUCGGGAGUCAGACUGCGAGUGAUAAGAUCCGUAGUCGAAAGGGAAACAGCCCAGACCACCAGUUAAGGUCCCCAAAUAUAUGUUAAGUGGAAAAGGAUGUGGGGUUGCUUAGACAACCAGGAUGUUGGCUUAGAAGCAGCCACCAUUGAAAGAGUGCGUAAUAGCUCACUGGUCGAGUGACCCCGCGCCGAAAAUGUACCGGGGCUAAACAUAUUACCGAAACUGUGGAUGAACCUCUUCGGAGGUUCGUGGUAGGAGAGCGUUCUAAGGGCGGUGAAGUCAGACCGGAAGGACUGGUGGAGCGCUUAGAAGUGAGAAUGCCGGUAUGAGUAGCGAAAGAAGGGUGAGAAUCCCUUCCACCGAAUAUCUAAGGUUUCCUGAGGAAGGCUCGUCCGCUCAGGGUUAGUCGGGACCUAAGCCGAGGCCGAUAGGCGUAGGCGAUGGACAACAGGUAGAGAUUCCUGUACCAGUGCUAAUUGUUUAACCGAUGGGGUGACACAGAAGGAUAGGGAAUCGCACGAAUGGAAAUGUGCGUCCAAGCAGUGAGUGUGA
This 1535-nucleotide ribosomal RNA is filed under the name Listeria monocytogenes. RNAcentral describes it as "bacterial LSU rRNA". It matches the Rfam family "Bacterial large subunit ribosomal RNA", at positions 1 to 1528 of the family's 2925-position model. Lineage: Bacteria; Bacillati; Bacillota; Bacilli; Caryophanales; Listeriaceae. RNAcentral also lists the same sequence under 1 other name. The record is from RNAcentral.